RNAcentral lists this ribosomal RNA (253 nucleotides) under uncultured bacterium. Its description in RNAcentral is "partial 16S ribosomal RNA". It matches the Rfam family "Bacterial small subunit ribosomal RNA", at positions 524 to 776 of the family's 1533-position model. The record is from RNAcentral.
GACAGAGGGUGCAAACGUUGCUCGGAAUCACUGGGCGUAAAGGGCGUGUAGGCGGGCAGAUAAGUCGGGCGUGAAAUCCCCAGGCUCAACCUGGGAACUGCACUCGAAACUGUUUGUCUUGAGUAUCGGAGAGGAAAGCGGAAUACCUGGUGUAGAGGUGAAAUUCGUAGAUAUCAGGAGGAACACCGGUGGCGAAGGCGGUUCUCUGGGCAUUACCUGACGCUGAGGAGCGAAAGUGUGGGGAGCGAACAGG